RNAcentral lists this ribosomal RNA (256 nucleotides) under uncultured bacterium. RNAcentral's name for it is "partial 16S ribosomal RNA". It matches the Rfam family "Bacterial small subunit ribosomal RNA", at positions 57 to 305 of the family's 1533-position model. The record is from RNAcentral.
GCAAGUCGAGGGGCAGCAUUUAUUUAGUUUACUAAAUAAGAUGGCGACCGGCGGACGGGUGAGUAACACGUAUCCAACUUUCCAUUUACUCGGGGAUAGCCUUUCGAAAGAAAGAUUAAUACUCGAUAGUCUACUCUAAUCUCCUGAUUUAGGUAGUAAAGAAUUUCGGUAAAUGAUAGGGAUGCGCUCCAUUAGAUUGUUGGUGAGGUAACGGCUCACCAAGGCAACGAUGCGUAGCCGAGCUGAGAGGCUGAUC